This 468-nucleotide ribosomal RNA is filed under the name uncultured bacterium. RNAcentral's name for it is "partial 16S ribosomal RNA". It matches the Rfam family "Bacterial small subunit ribosomal RNA", at positions 28 to 507 of the family's 1533-position model. The record is from RNAcentral.
GACGAACGCUGGCGGCGUGCUUAACACAUGCAAGUCGAACGGAAAGGCCCUGCUUUUGUGGGGUGCUCGAGUGGCGAACGGGUGAGUAACACGUGAGUAACCUGCCCUUGACUUUGGGAUAACUUCAGGAAACUGGGGCUAAUACCGGAUAGGAGCUCCUGCUGCAUGGUGGGGGUUGGAAAGUUUCGGCGGUUGGGGAUGGGCUCGCGGCUUAUCAGCUUGUUGGUGGGGUAGUGGCUUACCAAGGCUUUGACGGGUAGCCGGCCUGUGAGGGUGACCGGCAAAAUUGGGAAUGAGAUACGGCCCAGACUCCAACGGGAGGCAGCAGUGGGGAAUAUUGCACAAUGGGCGGAAGCCUGAUGCAGCAACGCCGCGUGCGGGAUGACGGCCUUCGGGUUGUAAACCGCUUUCGCCUGUGACGAAGCGUGAGUGACGGUAAUGGGUAAAGAAGCACCGGCUAACUACGUG